GAGGUUAAGCGACUAAGCGUACACGGUGGAUGCCCUGGCAGUCAGAGGCGAUGAAGGACGUGCUAAUCUGCGAUAAGCGCCGGUAAGGUGAUAUGAACCGUUAUAACCGGCGAUUUCCGAAUGGGGAAACCCAGUGUGACUCGUCACACUAUCAUUAACUGAAUCCAUAGGUUAAUGAGGCGAACCGGGGGAACUGAAACAUCUAAGUACCCCGAGGAAAAGAAAUCAACCGAGAUUCCCCCAGUAGCGGCGAGCGAACGGGGAGGAGCCCAGAGCCUGAAUCAGCAUGUGUGUUAGUGGAAGCGUCUGGAAAGGCGCGCGAUACAGGGUGACAGCCCCGUACACAAAAGCGCAUGUGCUGUGAGCUCGAUGAGUAGGGCGGGACACGUGGUAUCCUGUCUGAAUAUGGGGGGACCAUCCUCCAAGGCUAAAUACUCCUGACUGACCGAUAGUGAACCAGUACCGUGAGGGAAAGGCGAAAAGAACCCCGGCGAGGGGAGUGAAAAAGAACCUGAAACCGUGUACGUACAAGCAGUGGGAGCACCCUUUGGGGUGUGACUGCGUACCUUUUGUAUAAUGGGUCAGCGACUUAUAUUCUGUAGCAAGGUUAACCGAAUAGGGGAGCCGGAGGGAAACCGAGUCUUAAUUGGGCGUUAAGUUGCAGGGUAUAGACCCGAAA
Molecule: ribosomal RNA, 679 nt
Filed under: Salmonella enterica
Lineage: Bacteria; Pseudomonadati; Pseudomonadota; Gammaproteobacteria; Enterobacterales; Enterobacteriaceae
Description: partial 23S ribosomal RNA
Rfam family: Bacterial large subunit ribosomal RNA
Source: RNAcentral